CUACGGGACGCACCAGUGAGGAAUAUUGCACAAUGGAGGAAACUCUGAUGCAGCAACGCCGCGUGGAGGAUGACGCAUUUCGGUGUGUAAACUCCUUUUAUAUGUCAAGAAAAUGACGGUAGCAUAUGAAUAAGCACCGGCUAACUCCGUGCCAGCAGCCGCGGUAAUACGGAGGGUGCAAGCGUUACUCGGAAUCACUGGGCGUAGAGGACGCGUAGGCGGGAUAUCAAGUCAGGUGUGAAAUCCUACAGCUUAACUGUAGAACUGCACUGGAAACUGGUAACCUAGAGUAUGGGAGGGGGAGAUGGAAUUCGUGGUGUAGGGGUAAAAUCCGUAGAUAUCACUAGGAAUACCUAAAGCGAAGGCGAUCUCCUGGAACAUAACUGACGCUAAGGCGUGAAAGCGUGGGGAGCAAACAGGAUUAGAUACCCCUGUAGUC
RNAcentral lists this ribosomal RNA (439 nucleotides) under uncultured bacterium. RNAcentral describes it as "partial 16S ribosomal RNA". It matches the Rfam family "Bacterial small subunit ribosomal RNA", at positions 339 to 795 of the family's 1533-position model. The record is from RNAcentral.